CACGCCCUAAACGAUGUUCACUAGUUGUUGGGAUGUAACAAUCUCCGUAACGCAGCCAACGCGAGAAGUUAACCGCCUGGGAAGUACGGUCGCAAGACUAAAACUCAAAGGAAUUGACGG
This 120-nucleotide ribosomal RNA is filed under the name uncultured bacterium. RNAcentral describes it as "partial 16S ribosomal RNA". It matches the Rfam family "Bacterial small subunit ribosomal RNA", at positions 796 to 916 of the family's 1533-position model. The record is from RNAcentral.